UGGAUGGCAGUCAUCCUACGAAGCGGCCUACCCCUAAGCCACCCAAAAAGCCCUCAGGUGACACAGGUGAUCUCGACCUGUCUGACUACUUUGAUUCGUCACCAGAGACGACAACAAAACCAGCCAAAGUAACAGCUGGACCUUAUCCGAAGAAGCCAGAUGAUGGUCGCUGGAAUGCCCCACAUAUCACCACCACCAAGCAGCCCAAAACCACCAAGCCACCCCCCAAGAAGACCCCAGGUAAACGUUCACCUCCAUAAACAGGAUGCACGUUGAAGAAUUUCUUUCACUUCCGUCUUC
Molecule: long non-coding RNA, 300 nt
Filed under: Salvator merianae (Argentine black and white tegu)
Lineage: Eukaryota; Metazoa; Chordata; Lepidosauria; Squamata; Teiidae
Description: lncRNA (ENSSMRG00000018663.1)
Source: RNAcentral